Molecule: long non-coding RNA, 333 nt
Organism: Pungitius pungitius (ninespine stickleback)
Lineage: Eukaryota; Metazoa; Chordata; Actinopteri; Perciformes; Gasterosteidae
Exons: 3
Source: RefSeq, a predicted model, not a curated record
CUGAUUAUUGCCUUCUUUGUUUGGCUCUCUACCGUGGCGCACUACCGAGGGAUCUGAAUUACGCUUUGCAAGAUGAUGUUUUUUCUCCUGGUGGCUUUCUCCUUGAUCAAUUACCCAGUUGCUAACUGUCAUAGCAGUAGUGAUUCAGACAGUAAUGAGGUAAGACGGAAAUCUAAUCAUUAUAGCAGCGAGUCUGACAGUAAUGAGAGAGGCAAUCGUCAUCCGGUACUUAAGUGGCCUUACUUCCCCGCCUGGCCAUUUCCUGGUUUGUGGCCACCAGCUCCUGCAACACCUCCACCCCCACCCCCAACUCCAGCACCAACAACAACACCA